CAGCUGCGACUUCCAGAUCCGAGGAAGAGUCAGUCGGUAGGCAUGACGAGCCCUCAGUGCCCCGCCACCGCUGCCAGGCGCUGAGGAGCUACGCUAACGGACACCUCACCUCACAACACCCUCCAACAGCCGCGAGGCUGGCGGCUGAAGGCUAGUCGGAAGCUCCGCCCCGAAACGCGGAAUCCUGCCUCGCCCCGCCCCGCUCCCCGUCCUGCGCACAAACGUCAGGGCGCUGCGUCGUCCCUCUGCUCCUCCACCGUCCCUUCCGGCUUCUGUUUGGUUCCUCGCGUUACCGGCUCUUGGAAGUCUUGCUGCGGUUUCCGCGGUACCCCGCGCUGUCAUCCCCGGUUGCGCCGCCAUGUCGCGGCCCAGUAGCGUCUCCCCGCGGCAGCCUGGCGGGGGCUCGGUGGGCUCAGGUACCCCCGCGGCGGCCGCCUCCGUCGGUCCUGCGGCAGGCCGCAGCCGAGGCAAGGGGCUGAAGGAUAUCCGCGUCGACGAGGAGGUGGAGAUCGCGGUAAAUCUCGCCCUGGAGCGGUUCCGGUACGGAGACGAUAAAGAAAUGGAAUUCCCUUCUUCUUUCACCAGUACUGAAAGAGCAUUUGUUCACCGGCUCUGUCAGUCUCUUGGACUGAUAUCUAAGAGUAAAGGAAAAGGAGCAAGUCGAUAUCUGACUGUAAGGAAGAAGGAUGGGUCAGAGCUAACUCAUUCAGUAAUGGCUUGUUACUUGGCUCUCAGUACAAAACAUGCCAUUCGUAGUUUAAUUCAGAGAUUUCCUGUCACAAAUAAAGAACGAACAGACCUUCUACCAAAGACAGAGCGAGGAAAUGCAUUUGCUGUUGAAUCUGAAAACAGAGAAGUAAACAAGACAAGUGGACGACUUAGCAACGGUAUCCCCCAGGUUCCAGCAAAAAGAGGGGAAUCAGAGUUUGAUUCCUUCAGACAAUCACUACCUGUUUUUGAAAAACAGGAAGAAAUUGUCAAAAUAAUAAAGGACAACAGAGUUGUUUUGAUUGUAGGAGAGACUGGAUCAGGAAAAACUACCCAAAUCCCUCAAUUCCUUCUUGACGACUGUUACAAAAAUGGAACUCCCUGUCGUAUAUUUUGCACUCAGCCAAGACGUUUGGCAGCGGUUGCUGUGGCUGAAAGAGUGGCAGCAGAAAGAAGAGAAAAGAUCGGCCAGACAAUUGGUUAUCAGAUUCGAUUAGAAAGCAGGGUUUCUCCAAAGACUCUGUUAACGUUUUGCACUAAUGGCAUACUACUGCGCACGCUAAUGACAGGAGACAGCACUCUAUCAACUGUGACUCAUGUUAUUGUGGAUGAAGUACAUGAGAGGGAUAGGUUCAGUGACUUCUUGCUAAUAAAACUGAGGGAUGUGUUGCAAAAACAGACCAAUUUAAAACUAAUUAUUUCUAGCGCUGCUCUAGAUGCAAAUCUCUUUAUUAGGUAUUUUGGAAACUGCCCAGUAGUACACAUACAAGGAAGACCUUUUGAAGUUAAAGAGAUGUUUUUGGAGGACAUUUUACGAAGCACGGGGUAUACCAACAAAGAGAUGGUAAAGUACAAAAAAGAGAAGCAGCGAGAAGAAAAACAGCAAAACACUCUUACUGACUGGUGUUCUGCUCAAGAAAAUAAUAGCAAACGGGAAUCUCAGAGACAAAGUUCUGUCCCGAGUGCAGCUGAGGAGUAUAAUCUCUUGGAUGAUGGUAGUGACACAGUAUUUAAUCAGCUGACCGAAAAAGAUGCCAAUAGCCUUGAACCAUGGGUAAUAAAAGAAAUGGAUUCUUGUCUUUCUGACAUCUGGUUGCAUAAAGAUACUGAUUCCUUUGCCCAGGUGUUCCAUCUGAUUUUAACUGAAAAUGUCAGUGUUGAUUACAGGCACAGUGAAACCAGUGUGACUGCACUAAUGAUUGCUUCAGGGAGAGGCUUUCUGAGUCAAGUAGAACAACUGAUCAGUAUGGGAGCAAGUAUCAACUGCAAAUCAUCCAAUGGCUGGAUGGCUUUGGACUGGGCUAAGCAGUUUGGACAGACAGAGGUUGUUGACCUGUUGGAGUCCUACAGUGCUUCAGUGGAAUCUGGAAAUCUGGAUGAAAGUUCCCUGGUCCAAACAAGUGGUAGUGACCUUAGUGCAGAGGACAGAGAACUGUUGAAAGCUUAUCAUCACAGUUUUGAUGAUGAAAAAGUGGAUCUGGACCUGAUUAUGCACUUACUUUAUCACAUCUGCCAUAACUGUGGUGCUGGAGCAAUUUUAAUAUUUCUUCCUGGAUAUGAUGAGAUAGUUAGCCUGAGGGACCGAAUUCUUUUUGAUGACAAGAGAUUUGCUGAUAAUGCUCACAGAUACCAGGUUUUCAUGCUUCAUUCAAAUAUGCAGACUUUGGAUCAGAAGAGGGUGCUUAAAUGUCCACCUGCUGGCAUCCGCAAAAUAAUUCUUUCUACUAAUAUUGCCGAAACCAGCAUAACAGUCAAUGAUGUUAUAUUUGUUAUUGACUCAGGCAAGAUGAAAGAGAAAUCUUUUGAUGCAUUGAGUUGUGUUACAAUGCUAAAAAUGGUGUGGAUUUCAAAAGCCAGUGCUAUCCAGAGAAAAGGCAGGGCUGGGCGUUGUCAGCCUGGAGUCUGUUUUCGUCUCUUCAGCAGGCUCCGAUUUCAGAAUAUGUUGGAAUUUCAGACUCCAGAACUUCUAAGAAUGCCACUCCAGGAGCUUUGUCUACACACAAAACUUCUUGCUCCAAUUAAUUGUCCAAUUGUUGACUUUCUUAUGAAAGCUCCUGAUCCUCCACCAGCUUUAAUUGUGAGAAAUGCUGUGCAAAUGCUUAAGACAAUAGAUGCCAUGGAUCCUUGGGAAGAUCUCACAGAACUUGGUUAUCAUCUCACUGAAUUACCAGUAGAGCCACACCUUGGUAAAAUGGUGUUGUGUGCUGUGGUUUUGAAGUGCCUGGAUCCUAUUCUUACUAUCGCUUGUACUCUGGCAUAUCGAGACCCUUUUGUCCUGCCUACAAUGGCCUCUCAAAAGCGUGCAGCCAUGCUGUGUAGAAAACGUUUUACUGCGGGAACGUUCAGUGACCACAUGGCUCUUCUGAGGGCUUUCCAGGCAUGGCAGAAAGCACGCAGUGAUGGCUGGGAGAGAACCUUCUGUGAAAAGAACUUCCUGUCUCAAGCCACAAUGGAAAUCAUCAUAGGAAUGAGAACACAGUUGCUUGGGCAGCUUAGAGCCUCGGGUUUUGUUCGAGCCAGAGGAGGAGCUGAUAUUAGAGAUGUUAAUACUAAUUCUGAAAACUGGGCUGUAGUUAAAGCUGCCUUAGUGGCUGGGAUGUAUCCCAAUUUAGUGCAUGUAGACAGAGAAAACCUGGUUUUGACUGCACCAAAGGAGAAGAAAGUGCGGUUUCAUCCUACCUCUGUUCUUAGUCAACCUCAGUAUAAAAAGAUUCCCCCAGCAAAUGGGCAAGCUGCAGCCAUUCAGGCGCUCCCUACAGACUGGCUUAUAUAUGAUGAAAUGACAAGAACUCACAGGAUAGCAAAUAUCAGAUGCUGUUCUGUUGUAACACCUGUCACUGUAUCACUCUUCUGUGGACCAGCUAGAUUACCAAGUAAUGCUUUGCAGGAACCUUCAUCCUUUCGAGGGGAUGGGUUAUCUAACGAUAACAGUGAUAGUGAGAUGGAGGAAAAAACAUCUAAUUUGGCACUACUGAAGCUAGAUGAGUGGCUCCAUAUCAGUAUGGACCCUGAAGCUGCUGGUUUGCUGUUGCAACUCAGACAGAAGUGGCAUAGCUUAUUUCUGCGUCGUAUCCGAGCUCCAUCUAAACCGUGGUCUCAAGUUGAUGAAACAACUAUCAGAGCAAUUAUAGCUGUUUUGAGUUCUGAAGAGCAGUCAGCAGGUUUGCAGCAGCCUUCAGGAAUUGGUCAGAGACCAAGACCUAUGACUUCGGAAGAAUUUCCUUCAGCAUCCACAUGGAGGUCAAUCAACAACAGAAAAAGCUCAGCAGAAACGGAACUUUCCGAUGACUCCUCUAAUGCUGAAAAAGCUUUAAUGAAAUCUACGCCUCCUCCACUUCACCAGUCAAAGAAGUACAAAGAAAAAAACAUUUUACACUCCAAGCGAACUUCAGAUGACAGGUCAGAUCGGUCAUCAGUGAAGUCUACAGACAGCAGUAGCUAUCCUAGCCCCUGUGCUAGUCCCUGUUCUCCACUAUCUGGAAAGGGUUCCAAAUCUCCUUCACCACGACCAAAUAUGCCAGUUCGGUACUUCAUAAUGAAAAGCAGCAAUUUACAAAACAUUGAUAUUUCUCAACAGAAGGGUAUAUGGUCUACUACGCCAAGUAAUGAACGAAAACUAAAUAGAGCCUUUUGGGAAAGCCGCAUGGUUUACUUAAUAUUUUCUGUUCAAGGGUCUGGACACUUUCAGGGUUUUGCUAGAAUGGCUUCAGAGAUAGGGUGUGAGAAAAGUCAAGACUGGGGAUCCGCUGGUCUUGGAGGUGUGUUUAAGGUGGAGUGGAUCAGAAAAGAAAGCAUUCCUUUCCAGUUUGCUCACCACUUGCUCAACCCUUGGAAUGACAACAAGAAAGUACAAAUAAGCAGAGAUGGCCAGGAGCUGGAAACACAAGUGGGAGAGCAAUUGCUUCAGCUUUGGGACCACAUUCCUUUGGCAGGAAAAGCUCAACAGAUUGAGUAUGCCAAGUGAUGUGAUGAGGGUGAAGAAAACAACUAUGAAGGAAAAAUGACAACUGAACAUUUCUGUUGGGGGAUCCUGAUUUGCCCUCUUCCCCCAUUGCUUCUGAAGACUCAGAAUCCUUGACCUCCAUCACUCGUUUUGCCACUUCACUGGAAAUGCAAUCAGUUUUGCCUUUUGAUGAAUAUUCAAAAUGACACCAUCUGUCAACCUGUUGUCUCUGAGGGCAGAAGCAGUCUAACUCUCCAAAGAUUUUCUCUUUUUUUUUUUUUUUUAAAAGGAAACUUGAAUAAUGAUCCCUGUCAGCAGGGAAACCACAAAGUGAUGUCUUCAGAACAGUAAUCAGGGAAAAGCAUGUUAGGUAUUGGGAAGGAGGGGAUGCACUGCAGCUGUUUCUGACUGGCAUCUAAGUAGCCUUCUCCUAAUUGAGAUGGGAGAGAAAUGGUAGCUCAUUAUAUGGAGAAUGUUUUCUGGCAUUUAUUUUGGAAAAAGGCUGUGCUAAUAUGUGAUUGGUCUCCAUCACUUCUUUAUCUUGGGUAACUUGUGAUUUUAUAUGAUCUGACUACAGGAAGAUGAUGAUGAGGUGGAUCUUCUCCAUGAAGUGGAAACUGAAGCUGAGGUUACAUUAGGCAUGUAGUUUCACUGUGUAAAGUUAAGAUGUUGCUCAUGUUCUCCCUGACAACAGCCCUUUCCCUUUGUGUGAUCAAAACGGUCAUUUCUGGUUCAUUAACAUGUCAUUUGGAGGAAGUCUGCAUACAAAGAGUCAUGCCUUGAUAAAUACAUUUCUUUCUUUUUAAGAAUAGAAGGUGGAAUGUGCCUUUUUCUUCCCAGGUCUGAAACUGGCUGAUAUAUUGAAGGGAGAGAGACGUUUUUACUGAGUUUUUGGCCUCUAAGUGUACCCGUUGUACAAUGUAGUCUGCGUUUGGCAUGAAGUGUGGGUUUUAUGGGGCUAGAGUCUUUCUCUAUUUCUCUAACCUCCAGACUUUUUUCUUUUUCUUUUUUUUCUUUUCUCCUUUUGGUCUUUGUACUGUGAAAGUGAAAGUUUUAUGAAGCACUUUGUAAUGAAACAAUAGAUAAAAGCAUUUGAAUUGAUCCGGCCUGAGAUGGUUCUGCAGCAAAUUGCUCUGUGAUGUCCUGGAGUAUUGCCUCAGUGAUAUGUGGGGCAACCAGGAGGUACCUAUUUACUAUUUAAAGGAAAUGUAAAAGUUUGGGUUUGGUUUGCAUUGACUGAUGGACAGAAGGUGCUGAGUAGCAGGAGUAGAACAAGAUAGACUCUCUGAAUUUGGAGGCACCACCAGAAGGAUGCUCAUUACCUGCACUUGCUGCACUUUAAGGUCAGACAAAUACAACAUGGAGUUAAGCUCCAGCUCCACGCUGGAGUAGUAGGGAGCUCCGUGAUGCUUUCUGCUUUGCUGUGUUGCCUCUAUCUUUCCCUUACUUAUGCGUAGUCCGUGAAUCCUGCUGCAGCUGGACUUCUUUCAUGCUCUGCAAGGAAACAUUAUUUGUCCUGAUUGCAAGGAAUUAGGACCAAAUACAGGCAGGCAUGAAUCUGUCUGAUGCACUCCUUCUAGUGAUGCCAAAUUCAGGGAAAUAGUAAUCUGUCUAACCUGCCUCCUUUGAUGGUGAUCCUAUAGCUAAAUGAGAUAUAAUGAGAGAAGAAGCCUAUUAUGCAGGAAAAAAAAUUUAGACUUUCCUAGAGAAGUGUGGUGAAAACUUAGAGAAUAUCUGAAGUUCCUCACGCUUGUGCCAAGGGAAGAAAAGAGUGCACAUGCCAAGAUAAGAGUGGGGAGUGAUAUCCAGAAGUUAAUCCAAUUAGAUCAUAGCUGUUGUUUGCCAGGAUUAUUUUGUCUUUUCCUCAUAUUUUAUUUUUAUGCUUGGCUAUAAAUAUUGUGCAUUGCUUUUUUCAUUGGCAGAGAAUCACAGAAUCUUAAGAGUUGGAAGGGAUCUCGAAAGAUCAUCAAGUCCAAAGAAGUGCUUUUUUCCCCUCAUUGCCAGAAGCUUCUAGCUCCUGUUUUGUUUGUUCUGCCUGUAGCAGAUAUGUGUUCUUACUGUUGCCUGAAGACUUCAAAAGCGAAUUAAAUGACGCCAGGUUGUGUGCAUCUUGAGUAACAUGCAUAGGCAGAAAUUUUAAAGCUGGUGGUAAAAUUCUUGAGGUAGCGAAAGGAGAGGAAGUUACGUGUUACUGUCUCUACCUGACCUUCCUUCUUGUUCUAGAUUUCAUCUGAGGCUCAAAUGACUCCUGUUUCUUCACAGGACCACUCACACUCUGCAAUUUCCUAUGGGAGAUUGCCAGUUUAUUCUGUUUUGGAUGUUCCCAGACUUUCCACAGUCUUUAAAGACAGAAGCAGACAAUAAUCGUGUAGUUUUACCUCCUAUGUACAACAUGGAUCAUUAAAUCUGACCUAGCACAGAAGCUGUGCAUAAACCUACCUUGUAUCUGGGGGCUUAUCAAGCUGUUAGAGACAGUAGUUGUGUUUCCUCCAGACUCAAGUGAUAGACUCCUGUCCAUAAGGACUGUGGUUUGGAAGCUGGAGCCAACUUUCAGAUUAUUUUUAAGUGCCAGGCAGAAGAUGGCACAAGAAAACAGUCCCUUCCCCUGCUGCCUCCUCACCCCAUGGUAUGCAGCAGGUUGGAAGGCACAUCUGUAUUUCUGCAAGCACUUUGAUUGCUCAGACGGCUCUGCUUCAGACUUGCAGGGACAAGAGAGGACUUGGUUAUUACAGGUUGUCUCUUGGGGCAGACAAUCAACUCCUUGCCUCUUGCUGUUUAAUUCAGUCUUAGAAAAUUUCUUGUAGAGUUUAGGGGAUUAACAGUGUCUACUUUGGAGGUGUGAGAAGUGGAGAGACAUUUAUUUUGCACAAGAGGAACUGUAAAAAUUAUGACAGUAAAAAAAUUCCUAGAAAUUAAUCUCAAAUUAAUAAGACUGGUGGAUAGGAUUUGUUCUGAAAAAGGCAGUUCGGAUUACUUUUAGAUUAGUUUAAAACCAUUAACUCUGGAAGUUUGACUGUAAAGCUAAUGCCCAAGGCUGGUUAAGCUGUUAGAAGUAUUUACUGUACUAAAUGAAUUAGAACAUCACUGGGCAAGUCAGUUUUGGUGAAUAAGGUCUAUAUUUUGCUUAACCACUGAAAAAGACAGUAUCAUCGCAGCAUAAGACUGUGACACUUUAUGUUAGUUAAAAUAAACCUAGUCUGUAGCCUAUUGCUGGACAACCUCUUUGCAAUUCCAAGUACCAUUUUUUAGGGAAAAUAAUUUUAGUAGGAGGAUAUUUAUUUGUAGGCUUAGAAUGAAGAAUAUUUUUGCUGGACUCUGUCAAUGAUGAAGUUGUCUUAUUUGCUUUGUUUAUAAAAGACUGUAUGAGGUUUGGACAUUUAACUUUUGUUGAGUAGCUGAUCUUGCUUUUAGUGAUGCUUCAACAUAUAAAACUGAGUUAGUGAUCUGAGUAAAAUUCACAGUGAAAGAUUGUACUCCUGCAAAUAGUAAGAUUAAAGAUAUUAUUUUAAAUUAAUAUUAUCUUUAAAAAGUUAAGAAGGAUAAAGAUAAAGCUGUGUGUUGUAACUUAGGUUUACCUCUGUUUUAAUAGGUUUUAGGAAAACCAGUGAUGCUUCAAUGGGCCUGUACUCAGGUUUUUGAAUGCAAUUUUCUUUGUAGAAUGACAUCUUUAUUUCCUACUCUGCUUUGUUUCUUGUUAACUUCCACUGCCAUUUUUAAAAAUCAUAGUCUUACGUGUGCAAUUCGUCCUGGCAGCUGUGGGAAAAGUCAUUCAAAAGCUUCAGAGCAGGGCCAGAAACUGAACUUUACUGUCAGGAAAGGCAUAAAUAUUCUAAGCAAUGAAAGAAUUGGGGAAAAAAAUGCUUUAGCAAGCCUUUUAAGAGGCAAAGCACCUUACCAAGGGCCUUUGCUGUCGAGGUCAUUAUUCCUGGGUUAAACUGACCGCAAAGAAAUUUAAUUGCCAGGGUAAUCUCUUACUUUUGGUAGAGAUUUAUGAGGCUGCUCAGUGUAAGCUAUAGCUGUGUACAGAGUCUUGUCAAGCUGAAAGCUCCAGCUCUGGAGAAGUGAUGUUGGGAAUAACAUCAUUCAUCUGGCUUUAAAAUGUGUAUUAUCGUCUACUUACAUUCAGCACAAGAUAAUAAUGACAUUCAAUUUAAUGACAUUUUUUUUGUAUUUGGAAAAGGUAAACUGCUGUUGGGUAUGGUUUGACAUGACAGCCUUUUCUGGUAAGGGGGAAGGGGCUGUAAAUAUGGCUCCUGUAAGAAGUUGCUCGCAACUCUCCCCAGCUCAGAGCCAGACCCACUUCUGGGGCUGAGCCAAUUAGACGCCUCCACGAUCACUUUUUUGAGAAGAAGCCGGAAGGGGAGGCUUCUUCCUCCAUCUUCUUUCUUUCUUCUGGCUGGUGGUGGUGCAAGGAGUAGGAACGGUGAGAGAAACAACCAUGCGGACUCCAAGGUCAGUGAUGAAAGAGAGGAGGAGGUGUGCUGGAACAGAGACUCCCCUGCAUUCUAUGGAGAGAACUGGUGAAGCUGAGAUUUAUUUUCAUUUCUUUAAAGACCCCGCAUCAGCGGUAGAGACUCAUUUUUAUAAUGAGCCCACAUCAGGAGCAGAGACUUAUUUUGCUAAAGCUGACCCCGGACCAGGGGCAGCGAUUCACUUCAUUAAAGGCCCCGAGCCAGGGACAGUGACUAUGGCUGGAGGAGGCCGUGUUUCGAAGGAGGGGCCCUUUAUCACUAUGGCCGGAGGAGGCCGUGUUUCGAAGGAGGGGCCCUUUAUCACUAUGGCCGGAGCAGGCCGUGUCCCGAGAGAGGGACCCUGCAAAUGUAGAAACUGCAACCACGGUGAAGAAUCCAAGCCAGAGAUAUUUACCAAGGACUGUGUCCCGUGUGAGGGACCCUGUAUCGGCAGAAGCCACAGCUGCUGGGAAGAACCCACACCAGAGAAGUUUGUUAAGGACUAUGUUCCGGGGGAGGAACCCCGUGUUGGAGCAGGGGAAGAAUGCCAGGAGUCAUCCUCAUCUGAGAAGACAGAAGCGGCAGAGCCCAUCUGUGAGAGACUGACCACAUUCCCCACUCCCUGCCCCCCUGAGCCGUUGUGGGGGGAGGAGGAGUCUUUUCUGUCCAAGUUGUGUUGGUUUCUGGGAGCCGCGGUAAGCAGUUGCAAUCACUAGAUGGUGGUAUUCUGUCACGGGAAGCUUAAAAUGUGGGACGUACCGGUUCCUGAAUGGAGGACGAAAAAGACCAUAGGACACAGAGGUCACUAUAAUCGUUGUAGCUUUUUCUUUACAUUGUCAUAAGAGGCUGGAAGUUUGAAAAAACCUCCCAAAUCUAUCUUGCUGGCUGACUUAAUUAAAUCUAGUGAAUUAUUUUCUAUGGACCUUAAUUUAAUCUGGGAUGAGGAGAGAAUGUAUGUGAAUAAUUGCAUCUUCUAUCAUCAGACAAUUAGCAUUGUUGCUGUGAAGACCUCAAAAAGGUUGGUGACAUCUGGUACUGCGUUUUCAAAGCUAAUGUUUGAAAAUCCACUUGAAGGCUAUUUUUAUUAUUUAUUACAGAAGGUAGUAAGCAAGUGCUGAUUUUGACACAGAUUAUGUAUGGAAUGUUUCUAUUUUGAUAAAUGUGUUUGCUCCCUGAACUCUAAAGCAAUACAAAAGUACUCUUCAAAAUCAGGAUUAUAUUCUCCCUCAUUUGAGGGAGAUACAAACAACAGGAUAGUUGUUUGUAUCACAGGGAAUAGUGUGCAGGGGACUUGGACUUUCAGAAGAAUCAUCUCUUCAUAGUUUUCAAACACUUGUUAAAAACUUUUCAGUUUUAUCACAAUCACUACAAUUCCAGUUUUGUUCUGAAAUUUUGAUCAGAUGAAUAGAAUUUGCAUUUCCAAAUUACAACACAAGUCUUAGUCUUUACCUAUGCAAUAAAGAAGCUGAGAAGAUUCACUCAGUUCUUUUUUGUCUAGCACUUACUGCUUGCAGCUUAUGUUACGAAACUUGCAAGAGAAUGUAGAGCAACUGUGUGCUAAAAUAA
Molecule: RNA transcript, 10668 nt
Organism: Colius striatus (speckled mousebird)
Lineage: Eukaryota; Metazoa; Chordata; Aves; Coliiformes; Coliidae
Gene: YTHDC2
Gene name: YTH N6-methyladenosine RNA binding protein C2
Exons: 31
Source: RefSeq, a predicted model, not a curated record